AGGAAAGUGGCGGACGGGUGAGUAACGCGUGAGCAACCUACCUUGUACAAAGGGAUAGCCUCGGGAAACCGGGAUUAAUACCAUAUGAGACCCCAAUAACGAGUGUUAAAGAGGUUAAAGAUUUAUCGGUAUAAGAUGGGCUCGCGUCUGAUUAGCUAGUUGGAGGGAUAAAAGCCCCCCAAGGCGACGAUCAGUAACCGGCUUGAGAGAGUGAACGGUCACAUUGGAACUGAGACACGGUCCAAACUCCUACGGGAGGCAGCAGUGGGGAAUAUUGCGCAAUGGGCGAAAGCCUGACGCAGCAACGCCGUGUGAGGGAUGAAGGUUCUCGGAUCGUAAACCUCUGUCAGAAGGGAAGAACGGUUAUAGGUCUAACAGGCCUGUAAAUUGACGGUACCUUCAAAGGAAGCACCGGCUAACUCCGUGCCAGCAGCCGCGGUAAUACGGAGGGUGCAAGCGUUAUUCGGAAUUACUGGGCGUAAAGCGCGCGUAGGCGGCUUUGUAAGUCAGGGGUGAAAUCCCACGGCUCAACCGUGGAACUGCCUUUGAAACUGCGAGGCUUGAAUCCUGGAGAGGGUGGCGGAAUUCCUGGUGUAGGAGUGAAAUCCGUAGAUAUCAGGAGGAACACCGGUGGCGAAGGCGGCCACCUGGACAGGUAUUGACGCUGAGGUGCGAAAGUGUGGGGAGCAAACAGGAUUAGAUACCCUGGUAGUCCACACUGUAAACGAUAAAAGUAGGUGUCGGGGACUUGAUCUUCGGGGCCGUAGUUAACGCAUUAAGUAUCCCGCCGGGGGAGUACGGUCGCAAGGCUGAAACUCAAAGAAAUUGACGGGGGCCCGCACAAGCGGUGGAGUAUGUGGUUUAAUUCGAUGCAACGCGAAGAACCUUACCUGGGCUUGACAUCCUAGGAAUCCUGCAGAGAUGCGGGAGUGCCCUUCGGGGAAUCUAGAGACAGAUGCUGCAUGGCUGUCGCCAGCUCGUGCCGUGAGGUGUUGGGUUAAGUCCCGCAACGAGCGCAACCCCUAUCCUCAGUUGCCAGCACAUAAUGGUGGGCACUCUGUGGAGACUGCCCGGGUUAACCGGGAGGAAGGUGGGGAUGACGUCAAGUCUUCAUGGCCCUUACGCCCAGGGCUACACACGUACUACAAUGGUGGGUACAAAGGGCAGCGAAGCCGCGAGGUGAAGCGAAUCUCAGAAAACCCAUCAUAGUCCGGAUUGCAGUCUGCAACUCGACUGCAUGAAGUUGGAAUCGCUAGUAAUCCUGGAUCAGCAUGCCAGGGUGAAUACGUUCCCGGGCCUUGCACAAACCGCCCGUCA
RNAcentral lists this ribosomal RNA (1317 nucleotides) under uncultured bacterium. RNAcentral's name for it is "bacterial SSU rRNA". It matches the Rfam family "Bacterial small subunit ribosomal RNA", at positions 89 to 1399 of the family's 1533-position model. The record is from RNAcentral.